AAGGUUUGGAGAAACUCUCUUAUCCAGCAAAUGCUGAUAAACACCUCCACUAAACAUUGAUGAUGUGGCAGAUUCGAGAAUGCUCCCUAAUCCCCAACAUUCAUUUACUCAUUUAUUCAUUCAUUCAUUAAUUAAUUCAUUUGUUUGGAAUUUAUAAGUUUUCCACAUCCAGCAGCCUAAGACCAAGAUUGCAAAAGGGAAGAAGGAGUUGCUUUUGUCGGCCGAGGGACA
This 231-nucleotide long non-coding RNA is filed under the name Physcomitrium patens. Its description in RNAcentral is "long non-coding RNA (PPAT_LNC010938)". The record is from RNAcentral. Lineage: Eukaryota; Viridiplantae; Streptophyta; Bryopsida; Funariales; Funariaceae.